RNAcentral lists this transfer RNA (69 nucleotides) under Solomys ponceleti (Ponceleti's Solomys). Its description in RNAcentral is "tRNA-Ala". It matches the Rfam family "tRNA". From Rfam's summary of the family: Transfer RNA (tRNA) molecules are approximately 80 nucleotides in length. Lineage: Eukaryota; Metazoa; Chordata; Mammalia; Rodentia; Muridae. The record is from RNAcentral.
GAGGUCUUAGCUUAAUUAAAGCAGUUGAUUUGCAUUCAGUAGAUGUAGGGUAUAGACCUACAGUCCUUG